UGGGGAAUAUUGCACAAUGGGCGAAAGCCUGAUGCAGCAACGCCGCGUGAGGGACGACGGCCUUCGGUUGUAAACCUCUUUUAGCAAGGAAGAAGCGAAAGUGACGGUACUUGCAGAAAAAGCGCCGGCUAACUACGUGCCAGCAGCCGCGGUAAUACGUAGGGCGCAAGCGUUAUCCGGAAUUAUUGGGCGUAAAGAGCUCGUAGGCGGUUUGUCGCGUCUGCUGUGAAAAACCCGAGGCUCAACCUCGGGCCUGCAGUGGGUACGGGCAGACUAGAGUGCGGUAGGGGAGAUUGGAACUCCUGGUGUAGCGGUGGAAUGCGCAGAUAUCAGGAAGAACACCGAUGGCGAAGGCAGAUCUCUGGGCCGUAACUGACGCUGAGGAGCGAAAAGGGUGGGGAGCAAAACAGGCUUAGAUACCCUGGUAGUCCACCCCGUAAACGUUGGGAACUAGUUGUGGGGUCCAUUCCACGGAUUCCGUGACGCAGCUAACGCAUUAAGUUCCCCGCCUGGGGAGUACGGCCGC
This 526-nucleotide ribosomal RNA is filed under the name uncultured bacterium. RNAcentral describes it as "partial 16S ribosomal RNA". It matches the Rfam family "Bacterial small subunit ribosomal RNA", at positions 355 to 889 of the family's 1533-position model. The record is from RNAcentral.